RNAcentral lists this ribosomal RNA (162 nucleotides) under Leionema ambiens. RNAcentral describes it as "5.8S ribosomal RNA". It matches the Rfam family "5.8S ribosomal RNA". From Rfam's summary of the family: 5.8S ribosomal RNA (5.8S rRNA) is a component of the large subunit of the eukaryotic ribosome. It is transcribed by RNA polymerase I as part of the 45S precursor that also contains 18S and 28S rRNA. The record is from RNAcentral. Lineage: Eukaryota; Viridiplantae; Streptophyta; Magnoliopsida; Sapindales; Rutaceae.
UAACGACUCUCGGCAACGGAUAUCUCGGCUCUCGCAUCGAUGAAGAACGUAGCGAAAUGCGAUACUUGGUGUGAAUUGCAGAAUCCCGUGAACCAUCGAGUCUUUGAACGCAAGUUGCGCCCCAAGCCGUUAGGUUGAGGGCACGUCUGCCUGGGUGUCACG